Molecule: ribosomal RNA, 468 nt
Filed under: uncultured bacterium
Lineage: Bacteria
Description: partial 16S ribosomal RNA
Rfam family: Bacterial small subunit ribosomal RNA
Source: RNAcentral
GACGAACGCUGGCGGCGGGCUUAACACAUGCAAGUCGAACGGAAAGGCCCUGCAUCUGUGGGGUGCUCGAGUGGCGAACGGGUGAGUAACACGUGAGUAACCUGCCCGUGACUUUGGGAUAACUACAGGAAACUGGGGCGAAUACCGGAUAGGAGCUCCUGCUGCAUGGUGGGGGGUGGAAAGGUUCGGCGGUUGGGCAUGGACUCGCGGCUUAUCAGCUGGUUGGUGGGGUAGUGGCUUACCAAGGCUUUGACGGGUAGCCGGCCUGAGAGGGUGACCGGCCACCUUGGCACUGAGAUACGGGCCGGACUCGUACGGGAGGCAGCAGUGGGGAAUAUUGCCUGAUGGGGCGAAGCCUCAUGCAGCAACGCCGCGUUCUGGAUGACGGCCUUCGGUUUGUCAACCGCUUUCGCCUGUGACGAAGCGUGAGUGACGGUACUGGGUAAAGAAGCACCGGCUAACUACGUG